Molecule: ribosomal RNA, 1108 nt
Filed under: Salmonella enterica subsp. enterica serovar Infantis
Lineage: Bacteria; Pseudomonadati; Pseudomonadota; Gammaproteobacteria; Enterobacterales; Enterobacteriaceae
Also listed under: 1 other name
Description: partial 23S ribosomal RNA
Rfam family: Bacterial large subunit ribosomal RNA
Source: RNAcentral
AGACCCGAAACCCGGUGAUCUAGCCAUGGGCAGGUUGAAGGUUGGGUAACACUAACUGGAGGACCGAACCGACUAAUGUUGAAAAAUUAGCGGAUGACCUGUGGCUGGGGGUGAAAGGCCAAUCAAACCGGGAGAUAGCUGGUUCUCCCCGAAAGCUAUUUAGGUAGCGCCUCGUGAAUUCAUCUCCGGGGGUAGAGCACUGUUUCGGCUAGGGGGCCAUCCCGGCUUACCAACCCGAUGCAAACUGCGAAUACCGGAGAAUGUUAUCACGGGAGACACACGGCGGGUGCUAACGUCCGUCGUGAAGAGGGAAACAACCCAGACCGCCAGCUAAGGUCCCAAAGUCAUGGUUAAGUGGGAAACGAUGUGGGAAGGCCCAGACAGCCAGGAUGUUGGCUUAGAAGCAGCCAUCAUUUAAAGAAAGCGUAAUAGCUCACUGGUCGAGUCGGCCUGCGCGGAAGAUGUAACGGGGCUAAACCAUGCACCGAAGCUGCGGCAGCGAACGUAUCACUUAAAGCGAUUCAGCGGGUUACGAUUGACGGAGCGAAGCGACGUCAAAGCGUAUACAAAGUCGAGUCGGUUUAAGGAUACGUUCGUUGGGUAGGGGAGCGUUCUGUAAGCCUGUGAAGGUGUGUCGUGAGGCAUGCUGGAGGUAUCAGAAGUGCGAAUGCUGACAUAAGUAACGAUAAAGCGGGUGAAAAGCCCGCUCGCCGGAAGACCAAGGGUUCCUGUCCAACGUUAAUCGGGGCAGGGUGAGUCGACCCCUAAGGCGAGGCCGAAAGGCGUAGUCGAUGGGAAACGGGUUAAUAUUCCCGUACUUGGUGUUACUGCGAAGGGGGGACGGAGAAGGCUAUGUUGGCCGGGCGACGGUUGUCCCGGUUUAAGCGUGUAGGUGUGUGUUCCAGGUAAAUCCGGUUCACUUUAACACUGAGGCGUGAUGACGAGGCACUACGGUGCUGAAGCAACAAAUGCCCUGCUUCCAGGAAAAGCCUCUAAGCAUCAGGUAACAUCAAAUCGUACCCCAAACCGACACAGGUGGUCAGGUAGAGAAUACCAAGGCGCUUGAGAGAACUCGGGUGAAGGAACUAGGCAAAAUGGUGCCGUAACU